AAUGUGCCGAGGCUUGGUAACUCCACCACCGUUGGCGGAAUUCAACGGCCAAUGGGGUACGAGUUUCCUUCUCUCGGCGCGAA
Molecule: microRNA precursor, 83 nt
Organism: Atta colombica
Lineage: Eukaryota; Metazoa; Arthropoda; Insecta; Hymenoptera; Formicidae
Rfam family: mir-2765 microRNA precursor family
Source: Rfam